RNAcentral lists this transfer RNA (73 nucleotides) under Bacillota bacterium. Its description in RNAcentral is "tRNA-Pro". It matches the Rfam family "tRNA". Rfam says of the family: Transfer RNA (tRNA) molecules are approximately 80 nucleotides in length. Their secondary structure includes four short double-helical elements and three loops (D, anti-codon, and T loops). Further hydrogen bonds mediate the characteristic L-shaped molecular structure. tRNAs have two regions of fundamental functional importance: the anti-codon, which is responsible for specific mRNA codon recognition, and the 3' end, to which the tRNAs corresponding amino acid is attached (by aminoacyl-tRNA synthetases). tRNAs cope with the degeneracy of the genetic code in two manners: having more than one tRNA (with a specific anti-codon) for a particular amino acid; and 'wobble' base-pairing, i.e. permitting non-standard base-pairing at the 3rd anti-codon position. Lineage: Bacteria; Bacillati; Bacillota. The record is from RNAcentral.
CGGGGUGUGGCUCAGUUGGUAGAGCGCUGCGCUUGGGACGCAGAGGCCAUCGGUUCGAAUCCGGUCACUCCGA